UACAGAGGGUGCAAGCGUUAAUCGGAGUGACUGGGCGUAAAGGGCGUGUAGGUGGAUAGAUAAGUCAUGUGUGAAAUAUCCGGGCUUAACCUGGAGGGGUCAUAUGAUACUGUUUAUCUGGAGUAGAGCAGAGGGAAGUAGAAUUUCCGGUGUAGCGGUGAAAUGCGUAGAGAUCGGAAGGAAUACCAGUGGCGAAGGCGGCUUCCUGGGCUCAUACUGACACUGAGGCGCGAAGGCGUGGGUAGCAAACAGG
RNAcentral lists this ribosomal RNA (253 nucleotides) under uncultured bacterium. Its description in RNAcentral is "partial 16S ribosomal RNA". It matches the Rfam family "Bacterial small subunit ribosomal RNA", at positions 524 to 776 of the family's 1533-position model. The record is from RNAcentral.